Molecule: ribosomal RNA, 497 nt
Filed under: uncultured bacterium
Lineage: Bacteria
Description: partial 16S ribosomal RNA
Rfam family: Bacterial small subunit ribosomal RNA
Source: RNAcentral
GAUGAACGCUGGCGGCGUGCCUAAUACAUGCAAGUCGAGCGAACAGACGAGGAACUUGCUCCUCUGACGUUAGCGGCGGACGGGUGAGUAACACGUGGAUAACCUACCUAUAAGACUGGGAUAACUUCGGGAAACCGGAGCUAAUACCGGAUAAUAUAUUGAACCGCAUGGUUCAAUAGUGAAAGACGGUUUUGCUGUCACUUAUAGAAGGAUCCGCGCCGCAUUAGCUAGUUGGUAAGGUAACGGCUUACCAAGGCAACGAUGCGUAGCCGACCUGAGAGGGUGAUCGUCCACUCUUGAACGUGAGCACGGUCCAGACUCCUACGGGAGGCAGCAGUAGGGAAUCUUCCGCAAUGGGCUGAAGCCUGACGGAGCAACGCCGCGUGAGUGAUGAAGGUCUUCGGAUCGUAAAACUCUGUUAUUGGGGAAGAACAAAUGUGUAAGUAACUAUGCACGUCUUGACGGUACCUAGUCAGAAAGCCACGGCUAACUACGUG